Molecule: unclassified non-coding RNA, 118 nt
Filed under: synthetic construct
Source: RNAcentral
GGGCGAUAACUGGGUUCGCGCUGCGGACAUGGUCGAAUAGGGCACCGAGUUGGUAGAGAAGCCGUGCCUUGUGCGAGGCUGAUGACGGGCAACUCGGCUAGCGCAUUGUGAGACUGGA